This 497-nucleotide ribosomal RNA is filed under the name uncultured bacterium. Its description in RNAcentral is "partial 16S ribosomal RNA". It matches the Rfam family "Bacterial small subunit ribosomal RNA", at positions 28 to 507 of the family's 1533-position model. The record is from RNAcentral.
GAUGAACGCUGGCGGCGUGCCUAAUACAUGCAAGUCGAGCGAACAGAUGAGGAGCUUGCUCCUCUGACGUUAGCGGCGGACGGGUGAGUAACACGUGGAUAACCUACCUAUAAGACUGGGAUAACUUCGGGAAACCGGAGCUAAUACCGGAUAAUAUAUUGAACCGCAUGGUUCAAUAGUGAAAGACGGUUUUGCGGUCACUUAUAGAUGGAUCCGCGCCGCAUUAUCUGGUUGGUAAGGUAACGGCUUACCAAGGCAACGAUGCGUAGCCGACCUGAGAGGGUGGUCGGCCGCCGUGGAACUGAACCACGGUCCAGACUCCUACGGGAGGCAGCAGUAGGGAAUCUUACGCAAUGGGCGAAAGCCUGACGGAGCAACGCCGCGUGAGUGAUGAAGGUCUUCGGAUCGUAAAACUCUGUUAUUAGGGAAGAACAAAUGUGUAAGUAACUAUGCACGUCUUGACGGUACCUAAUCAGAAAGCCCCGGCUAACUACGUG